UGGGGAAUAUUGGACAAUGGGCGCAAGCCUGAUCCAGCCAUGCCGCGUGAGUGAUGAAGGCCCUAGGGUUGUAAAGCUCUUUCACCGGUGAAGAUAAUGACGGUAACCGGAGAAGAAGCCCCGGCUAACUUCGUGCCAGCAGCCGCGGUAGUACGAAGGGGGCUAGCGUUGUUCGGAUUUACUGGGCGUAAAGCGCACGUAGGCGGACUUUUAAGUCAGGGGUGAAAUCCCGGGGCUCAACCCCGGAACUGCCUUUGAUACUGGAAGUCUUGAGUAUGGUAGAGGUGAGUGGAAUUCCGAGUGUAGAGGUGAAAUUCGUAGAUAUUCGGAGGAACACCAGUGGCGAAGGCGGCUCACUGGACCAUUACUGACGCUGAGGUGCGAAAGCGUGGGGAGCAAACAGG
This 404-nucleotide ribosomal RNA is filed under the name Pseudomonas sp. RNAcentral describes it as "partial 16S ribosomal RNA". It matches the Rfam family "Bacterial small subunit ribosomal RNA", at positions 355 to 776 of the family's 1533-position model. Lineage: Bacteria; Pseudomonadati; Pseudomonadota; Gammaproteobacteria; Pseudomonadales; Pseudomonadaceae. RNAcentral also lists the same sequence under 2 other names. The record is from RNAcentral.